RNAcentral lists this ribosomal RNA (253 nucleotides) under uncultured bacterium. RNAcentral's name for it is "partial 16S ribosomal RNA". It matches the Rfam family "Bacterial small subunit ribosomal RNA", at positions 524 to 776 of the family's 1533-position model. The record is from RNAcentral.
UACGUAGGUGGCAAGCGUUGUCCGGAUUUACUGGGCGUAAAGGGCGUGCAGGCGGUUUGUUAAGUGCAGAGUGAAAGCUCCCGGCUCAACUGGGAGAGGUCUUUGCAUACUGGCAAACUCGAGGGAGGCAGAGGAAAGUGGAAUUCCCGGUGUAGUGGUGAUAUGCGUAGAUAUCGGGAGGAACACCUGUGGCGAAGGCGGCUUUCUGGGCCUUACCUGACGCUGAGGUGCGAAAGCGUGGGGAGCAAACAGG